Molecule: ribosomal RNA, 253 nt
Filed under: uncultured bacterium
Lineage: Bacteria
Description: partial 16S ribosomal RNA
Rfam family: Bacterial small subunit ribosomal RNA
Source: RNAcentral
UACAGAGGCCUCAAGCGUUGUUCGGAUUCAUUGGGCGUAAAGGGUGCGUAGGUGGCAUGGUAAGUUGAAGGUGAAAUCUCGGAGCUCAACUCCGAAACUGCCUUCAAUACUGCUGUGCUCGAGGACUGUAGAGGAGAAUGGAAUUCACGGUGUAGCAGUGAAAUGCGUAGAUAUCGUGAGGAAGACCAGUGGCGAAGGCGAUUCUCUGGGCAGUUCCUGACACUGAGGCACGAAGGCUAGGGGAGCAAACGGG